UGGAAUUCCGGUUACAGCCUUGCUGUGUGCUCAGACUGUGUUCCUCUGCUGGAGCCCAGUUCUGGCCCCAAGGACUGCUUCUGUACAAGGCUGAUGGAGGAGAAUCACAGGGAUACGGAUAUGGCCUCUGCAGACAGAGCUGGACAAGACUCAAAUAAGGUGAGGGACUGGCCGAUGCCAGCGGGAACAUAGAAAUCAGGAGCAGCUUCGUCACAGGGGAAAGUGUCGACUGCCUGUGGGAGCAGUUUUGAGUGUGCCCAACAAAUGAAUUCGGGAAGUAUAACGUCCAGCUUUGUGACUUAAGAACAUUCCCAUUUAGAAUGCAUAGUACAAGGCCAGGGAGAUGGCUCCGUGAGUAAACACACACACUAUACUGCAGCCUAAGGGCCCUG
This 392-nucleotide long non-coding RNA is filed under the name Mus spicilegus (steppe mouse). RNAcentral describes it as "lncRNA (ENSMSIG00000012154.1)". The record is from RNAcentral. Lineage: Eukaryota; Metazoa; Chordata; Mammalia; Rodentia; Muridae.